RNAcentral lists this ribosomal RNA (253 nucleotides) under uncultured bacterium. RNAcentral's name for it is "partial 16S ribosomal RNA". It matches the Rfam family "Bacterial small subunit ribosomal RNA", at positions 524 to 776 of the family's 1533-position model. The record is from RNAcentral.
UACGAGGGGGGCGAGCGUUGUUCGGAAUUAUUGGGCGUAAAGGGUGCGUAGGCGGCCUGACAAGUCUGAUGUGAAAUCCCUGGGCUCAACCCAGGGCCUGCAUCGGAAACUGUCGGGCUUGAGUAUGGGAGAGGUGAGUGGAAUUUCCGGUGUAGCGGUGAAAUGCGUAGAUAUCGGAAGGAACACCUGUGGCGAAAGCGGCUCACUGGACCAUCACUGACGCUGAGGCACGAAAGCUAGGGGAGCAAACAGG